RNAcentral lists this ribosomal RNA (429 nucleotides) under Gemmatimonadota bacterium. RNAcentral describes it as "Gemmatimonadetes bacterium partial 16S ribosomal RNA". It matches the Rfam family "Bacterial small subunit ribosomal RNA", at positions 355 to 776 of the family's 1533-position model. Lineage: Bacteria; Pseudomonadati; Gemmatimonadota. The record is from RNAcentral.
UAGGGAAUCUUCGGCAAUGGACGAAAGUCUGACCGAGCAACGCCGCGUGAGUGAAGAAGGUUUUCGGAUCGUAAAACUCUGUUGUUAGAGAAGAACAAGGACGUUAGUAACUGAACGUCCCCUGACGGUAUCUAACCAGAAAGCCACGGCUAACUACGUGCCAGCAGCCGCGGUAAUACGUAGGUGGCAAGCGUUGUCCGGAUUUAUUGGGCGUAAAGCGAGCGCAGGCGGUUUCUUAAGUCUGAUGUGAAAGCCCCCGGCUCAACCGGGGAGGGUGAUUGGAAACUGGGAGACUUGCGUGCAGAAGAGGAGAGUGGAAUUCCAUGUGUAGCGGUGAAAUGCGUAGAUAUAUGGAGGAACACCAGUGGCGAAGGCGGCUCUCUGGUCUGUAACUGAAGCUGAGGCUAGAAAGCGUGGGGAGCAAACAGG